Molecule: ribosomal RNA, 569 nt
Filed under: uncultured Gammaproteobacteria bacterium
Lineage: Bacteria; Pseudomonadati; Pseudomonadota; Gammaproteobacteria
Description: bacterial SSU rRNA
Rfam family: Bacterial small subunit ribosomal RNA
Source: RNAcentral
UCGAUUUGGAGUUUGUUGCCCUGAGUGAUGGGCUCCGAAGCUAACGCGAUAAAUCGACCGCCUGGGGAGUACGGCCGCAAGGUUAAAACUCAAAUGAAUUGACGGGGGCCCGCACAAGCGGUGGAGCAUGUGGUUUAAUUCGAUGCAACGCGAAGAACCUUACCUGGUCUUGACAUCCACAGAAUCUUGCAGAGAUGCGAGAGUGCCUUCGGGAACUGUGAGACAGGUGCUGCAUGGCUGUCGUCAGCUCGUGUUGUGAAAUGUUGGGUUAAGUCCCGCAACGAGCGCAACCCUUAUCCUUUGUUGCCAGCGGUUUGGCCGGGAACUCAAAGGAGACUGCCGUUGAUAAAGCGGAGGAAGGUGGGGACGACGUCAAGUCAUCAUGGCCCUUACGACCAGGGCUACACACGUGCUACAAUGGCGUAUACAAAGGGAGGCGACCUCGCGAGAGCAGGCGGACCUCACAAAGUACGUCUAAGUCCGGAUUGGAGUCUGCAACUCGACUCCAUGAAGUCGGAAUCGCUAGUAAUCGUGAAUCAGAAUGUCACGGUGAAUACGUUCCCGGGCCU